Molecule: long non-coding RNA, 229 nt
Filed under: Drosophila guanche
Lineage: Eukaryota; Metazoa; Arthropoda; Insecta; Diptera; Drosophilidae
Source: RNAcentral
CAGCGAGGAGGGAAAUGCGACAAGAAACGAGACAAAUGGCUGUACUAUACACAUAAAUAUGUACAUACAUAGUACAUACAUAUAUGUACAUCCAAUGGAUCUCUCUGUGUUCUCUGUCUGAUGGGAAAAUGCAAUUAUGGGCUUCGAAAUGGGGCACCGAAAGAGCUGCUCUCUACUAUCUAUCGAGUGACACAUCCCACAAAGCCAAAGGAUAACACUCAUCUUUAUG